AUGAUGAUGAUGACGAUGAUGGUGAUGAAGAUCUCGACGAUCGACAAGGGGGCGACGACGAUGAUGAUGGUGAUUAUAGGGUCAUUAUUCAUUAGGCACAUUGAGGGGACAAAAAGGGGCUCCAUGGAUGUUGUCGUAGGGAAAGGGUUGCAAAGAAAACCAAAGAUGUCACCUUUUCCUCAUCAGGGGCCGGUUAGGCACAUUGAGGGGACAAAAAGGGGCUCCAUGGAUGUUGUCGUAGGGAAAGGGUUGCAAAGAAAACCAAAGAUGUCACCUUUUCCUCAUCAGGCCCCGGCCCCGGCCCCGGCCCCUAAUUAG
RNAcentral lists this ribosomal RNA (318 nucleotides) under Triticum aestivum (bread wheat). RNAcentral's name for it is "partial small subunit ribosomal RNA". Lineage: Eukaryota; Viridiplantae; Streptophyta; Magnoliopsida; Poales; Poaceae. The record is from RNAcentral.